GCCCAAGUGUUGAAAUUGGUAGACAAGCGGCCUUGAGGGGGCCGUGUUCGCAAGGACGUGCUGGUUCGAAUCCAGUCUUGGGUA
Molecule: transfer RNA, 84 nt
Filed under: Bacteroidota bacterium
Lineage: Bacteria; Pseudomonadati; Bacteroidota
Description: Bacteroidetes bacterium tRNA-Leu
Rfam family: tRNA
About the family: Transfer RNA (tRNA) molecules are approximately 80 nucleotides in length. Their secondary structure includes four short double-helical elements and three loops (D, anti-codon, and T loops).
Source: RNAcentral